Molecule: long non-coding RNA, 602 nt
Organism: Paramormyrops kingsleyae
Lineage: Eukaryota; Metazoa; Chordata; Actinopteri; Osteoglossiformes; Mormyridae
Source: RefSeq, a predicted model, not a curated record
UGGGCGUGGCCCCUCAGAUCCCGUACGGGGCCCCCAGCCUACAGGGGCCAUCCAUCCCACACUCAGGAUCACCUCGCCGGCGAAGCGCCAUGGCUGUUCACUGCCCACAGAGGCCACCGCUCCUGGCAGCAUGGCCACGGCCGACACGGCGAGAUGAUUAGUGGGGAUUAGCACACGAUCGUCUUUGAACAUGUGACCGGCCAGUUAAAAAGGUCAGCCCGGAUUUAUUUUACCAUCUGCCAUUCAAAUCACCCAGGAGGGUUUGUAUUUUACAGCCCUCUACAUGCUGAACUGCCAACGUCAAUGCCCACCCGGCAUCGUCCCCGGGGCUCAGGUGUGCCCCCCCCCGCUGACACGUGACUGCUACAUCGGCAUUGAGGCUCGGGGUUCGGCGCCGGGUCUGGCUUUGGUACCAACAGAUACACAGCCAGAGGUCAUUCUGGAGGAUCCAAUCUAACAUCUACUAUUCCAGAAACAGCUUCAGUGAAGCAAGUCCCACGCAAGAAGAUGGACAUUAUUUUAUUUAUUUAUUUUAUUUAAAUUUGUGUGUACUUCUAAGUUCAAACAUGUUUGGUUGGCAAAAUAUAUGUUAUAAAUUCAAA